This 441-nucleotide ribosomal RNA is filed under the name uncultured Weissella sp. RNAcentral describes it as "bacterial SSU rRNA". It matches the Rfam family "Bacterial small subunit ribosomal RNA", at positions 349 to 782 of the family's 1533-position model. The record is from RNAcentral. Lineage: Bacteria; Bacillati; Bacillota; Bacilli; Lactobacillales; Lactobacillaceae.
CAGCAGUAGGGAAUCUUCCACAAUGGACGAAAGUCUGAUGGAGCAACGCCGCGUGUGUGAUGAAGGGUUUCGGCUCGUAAAACACUGUUGUAAGAGAAGAAUGACAUUGAGAGUAACUGUUCAAUGUGUGACGGUAUCUUACCAGAAAGGAACGGCUAAAUACGUGCCAGCAGCCGCGGUAAUACGUAUGUUCCAAGCGUUAUCCGGAUUUAUUGGGCGUAAAGCGAGCGCAGACGGUUAUUUAAGUCUGAAGUGAAAGCCCUCGGCUUAACCGAGGAAUUGCUUUGGAAACUGGAUAACUUGAGUGCAGUAGAGGAAAGUGGAACUCCAUGUGUAGCGGUGAAAUGCGUAGAUAUAUGGAAGAACACCAGUGGCGAAGGCGGCUUUCUGGACUGUAACUGACGUUGAGGCUCGAAAGUGUGGGUAGCAAACAGGAUUAGA